UACGAAGCGGGCUAGCGUUGUUCGGAAUCACUGGGCGUAAAGCGCACGCAGGCGGAUCGAUAAGUCGGGGGUGAAAGCCCGCGGCUCAACCUCGGAAUUGCCUUCGAUACUGACGGUCUCGAGUCCGGGAGAGGUGAGUGGAAUUCCCAGUGUAGAGGUGAAAUUCGUAGAUAUUAGGAAGAACACCAGUGGCGAAGGCGGCCCACUGGCCCGGUUCUGACGCUCAGGUGCGAAAGCGUGGGGAGCAAACAGG
Molecule: ribosomal RNA, 253 nt
Filed under: uncultured bacterium
Lineage: Bacteria
Description: partial 16S ribosomal RNA
Rfam family: Bacterial small subunit ribosomal RNA
Source: RNAcentral